AGAGUGAACGCUGGCGGUAGGCCUAACACAUGCAAGUCGAACGGCAGCACAGGAGAGCUUGCUCUCUGGGUGGCGAGUGGCGGACGGGUGAGGAAUACAACGGAAUCUACCUUUUCGUGGGGGAUAACGUAGGGAAACUUACGCUAAUACCGCAUAAGACCUUCGGGUGAAAGCCGGGGACCUUCGGGCCUGGCGCGGAUAGAUGAGCCGAUGUCGGAUUAGCUUGUUGGCGGGGUAAAGGCCCACCAAGGCGACGAUCCGUAGCUGGUCUGAGAGGAUGAUCAGCCACACUGGAACUGAGACACGGUCCAGACUCCUACGGGAGCAGCAGUGGGGAAUA
RNAcentral lists this ribosomal RNA (340 nucleotides) under uncultured soil bacterium. RNAcentral's name for it is "bacterial SSU rRNA". It matches the Rfam family "Bacterial small subunit ribosomal RNA", at positions 26 to 363 of the family's 1533-position model. The record is from RNAcentral.